AAUUGAGUAGGUUCUUUUUAAGCAAUUAGAAAGUUAAAAUGGAAAAUGGUGAAAAUCCAUUACAGCCCAACGUUACUGUAAUACUGAUGAAACCUUUAAAACCACUGAGAUAAAAGUCUUGGGAAGGAAAGGGAGUAAAAAGAAGUUAAGUCAGGAAACAUGCCUAUUUAG
This 171-nucleotide non-coding RNA is filed under the name Clostridium ihumii. The record is from RNAcentral. Lineage: Bacteria; Bacillati; Bacillota; Clostridia; Eubacteriales; Clostridiaceae.